UACGUAGGGGGCAAGCGUUGUUCGGAAUUACUGGGCGUAAAGAGUGUGUAGGCGGUGCUCUAAGUUCGGUGUGAAAUCCCCAGGCUCAACCUGGGAACUGCGUCUGAUACUGGUUGGCUUGAAUUCGGGAGAGGGAUGCAGAAUUCCAGGUGUAGCGGUGAAAUGCGUAGAUAUCUGGAGGAAUACCGGUGGCGAAGGCGGCAUCCUGGACCGAGAUUGACACUGAGGAGCGAAAGCCAGGGGAGCAAACGGG
RNAcentral lists this ribosomal RNA (253 nucleotides) under uncultured bacterium. RNAcentral's name for it is "partial 16S ribosomal RNA". It matches the Rfam family "Bacterial small subunit ribosomal RNA", at positions 524 to 776 of the family's 1533-position model. The record is from RNAcentral.